Molecule: long non-coding RNA, 457 nt
Organism: Oreochromis aureus
Lineage: Eukaryota; Metazoa; Chordata; Actinopteri; Cichliformes; Cichlidae
Source: Ensembl
UCAUCACCCACUGUGUUAAAAACAAAUGAUGGUCAGCCUGAUUUUACUUUGGUGAGAGACAGGUUUGUUUGAGUGUGUUUCAGAAACAGUUUUGAUGUUAAACCUUAUUUGGAGUGUACAAAGAAAAAGGGAGAAGCAGUGAGUGGGAGGAAAUGCCUCUUCGUUGUCAUCAGGGGAGAAAGAUGCUGAAAUAGAAGGGCAAGAGCAGCUGAAGACCCUGUUGUUGGUUCUCAAAGGAAAACCACAGCAUGACCUUGGUGGUGCUACUACCUUAAAGCUUUCCCUAAGUACUGAAAAGAGGACAGCAAGCGAAAGAAACUUGAAAAAAGACUGAGUAAUUUUGCUGUGGCUGAGUGAAAGAGCAACUAGAAGGUGGAUCUUCAAAAUCCUGUACGUGAGUGCUGAUGAGAAGAAAGCAUUGAUACCUCAAACCAAAGUUCUUUUUGGGCUGAUUAUG